RNAcentral lists this small RNA (124 nucleotides) under Marmota monax (woodchuck). The record is from RNAcentral. Lineage: Eukaryota; Metazoa; Chordata; Mammalia; Rodentia; Sciuridae.
GCUGGGCACAGUGGCACAUGCCUGUAAUCCCAGCUGCUAGGGAGGCUAAGGCAGGAGGAUCAUGAGUUCAAAGCCAGCCUCAGCAACAGGAGGCACUAAGCAACUCAAUGAGACCCUGUCUCUA